UACGAAGGGGGGCUAGCGUUGUUCGGAUUUACUGGGCGUAAAGCGCACGUAGGCGGAUUGUUAAGUGAGGGGUGAAAUCCUGGAGCUCAACUCCAGAACUGCCUUUCAUACUGGCAAUCUAGAGUCCGGAAGAGGUGAGUGGAACUCCUAGUGUAGAGGUGGAAUUCGUAGAUAUUAGGAAGAACACCAGUGGCGAAGGCGGCUCACUGGUCCGGUACUGACGCUGAGGUGCGAAAGCGUGGGGAGCAAACAGG
This 254-nucleotide ribosomal RNA is filed under the name uncultured bacterium. Its description in RNAcentral is "partial 16S ribosomal RNA". It matches the Rfam family "Bacterial small subunit ribosomal RNA", at positions 524 to 776 of the family's 1533-position model. The record is from RNAcentral.